GCGUUUGAGGCUGAGCCAAAUCAGAAAAAGAAAAAAAUUGUUGAGUCUGACUCUGAAGAUGAAUCAGGUGAUGAUGACAAUGGAAAGUCAUCAAACCAAAAAAAGAAAACGAAGGGUAGGAGGUGGUCAGAAGUGUGGAAGCUUUGAUAUGUAGUCGUAAUUGGUUGAAAGGAUUUUAAGCAUAUAAAAAUGGUAAACAAAUUCUUAUCAUAACUUUACACUUAUUUCAUCAUGACUUAUUAGGUUCACUAACUUAAUUCAAUCACAUAUGUAGAAGGGGAAGAAGAAUCUGAUGAUGAAGAUGAG
RNAcentral lists this long non-coding RNA (306 nucleotides) under Eutrema salsugineum. RNAcentral describes it as "long non-coding RNA (ESAL_LNC001302)". Lineage: Eukaryota; Viridiplantae; Streptophyta; Magnoliopsida; Brassicales; Brassicaceae. The record is from RNAcentral.